AGUUGGGGCUGCCUUAACAUGCAAGUCGAACGGUAACAGGGAGCUUGCUCCGCUGACGAGUGGCGAACGGGUGAGUAAUACAUCGGAACGUGCCCAGUAAUGGGGGAUAGCUCGGCGAAAGCCGGAUUAAUACCGCAUACGCCCUGAGGGGGAAAGUGGGGGACCGCAAGGCCUCACGUUAUUGGAGCGGCCGAUGGCUGAUUAGCUAGUUGGUAGGGUAAAGGCCUACCAAGGCGACGAUCAGUAGCUGGUCUGAGAGGACGAUCAGCCACACUGGGACUGAGACACGGCCCAGACUCCUACGGGAGGCAGCAGUGGGGAAUUUUGGACAAUGGGGGAAACCCUGAUCCAGCAAUGCCGCGUGUGCGAAGAAGGCCUUCGGGUUGUAAAGCACUUUUGUCAGGGAAGAAAUCCUUUGGGCUAAUACCCUAGGGGGAUGACGGUACCUGAAGAAUAAGCACCGGCUAACUACGUGCCAGCAGCCGCGGUAAUACGUAGGGUGCAAGCGUUAAUCGGAAUUACUGGGCGUAAAGCGUGCGCAGGCGGUUGUGUAAGACAGGUGUGAAAUCCCCGGGCUUAACCUGGGAAUUGCAUUUGUGACUGCACGACU
This 610-nucleotide ribosomal RNA is filed under the name Limnobacter sp. RNAcentral's name for it is "bacterial SSU rRNA". It matches the Rfam family "Bacterial small subunit ribosomal RNA", at positions 34 to 642 of the family's 1533-position model. Lineage: Bacteria; Pseudomonadati; Pseudomonadota; Betaproteobacteria; Burkholderiales; Burkholderiaceae. The record is from RNAcentral.